AGGGGUUUAGGAGAAACUAGACCAAGGGCCUUCAAAGCCCUCAGCGGAGGUGUAAACCCUCCAACCCCUG
Molecule: transfer RNA, 70 nt
Filed under: Squalogadus modificatus (tadpole whiptail)
Lineage: Eukaryota; Metazoa; Chordata; Actinopteri; Gadiformes; Macrouridae
Description: tRNA-Trp
Rfam family: tRNA
About the family: Transfer RNA (tRNA) molecules are approximately 80 nucleotides in length. Their secondary structure includes four short double-helical elements and three loops (D, anti-codon, and T loops). Further hydrogen bonds mediate the characteristic L-shaped molecular structure. tRNAs have two regions of fundamental functional importance: the anti-codon, which is responsible for specific mRNA codon recognition, and the 3' end, to which the tRNAs corresponding amino acid is attached (by aminoacyl-tRNA synthetases). tRNAs cope with the degeneracy of the genetic code in two manners: having more than one tRNA (with a specific anti-codon) for a particular amino acid; and 'wobble' base-pairing, i.e. permitting non-standard base-pairing at the 3rd anti-codon position.
Source: RNAcentral